Molecule: ribosomal RNA, 253 nt
Filed under: uncultured bacterium
Lineage: Bacteria
Description: partial 16S ribosomal RNA
Rfam family: Bacterial small subunit ribosomal RNA
Source: RNAcentral
UACGAAGGGUGCAAGCGUUACUCAGAAUUACUGGGCGUAAAGCGUGCGUAGGUGGUUUGUUAAGUCUGAUGUGAAAGCCCUGGGCUCAACCUGGGAAUUGCAUUGGAUACUGGCAGGCUAGAGUGCGGUAGAGGAUGGCGGAAUUCCCGGUGUAGCAGUGAAAUGCGUAGAGAUCGGGAGGAACACCGGUGGCGAAGGCGGCGACCUGGGUAGAUACUGACGCUGAGGUGCGAAAGCGUGGGGAGCAAACAGG